AUUGAACGCUGGCGGCAUGCCUUACACAUGCAAGUCGAACGGCAGCACGGGAGCAAUCCUGGUGGCGAGUGGCGAACGGGUGAGUAAUACAUCGGAACGUGCCCAAUCGUGGGGGAUAACGCAGCGAAAGCUGUGCUAAUACCGCAUACGAUCUACGGAUGAAAGCAGGGGAUCGCAAGACCUUGCGCGAAUGGAGCGGCCGAUGGCAGAUUAGGUAGUUGGUGAGGUAAAGGCUCACCAAGCCGUCGAUCUGUAGCUGGUCUGAGAGGACGACCAGCCACACUGGGACUGAGACACGGCCCAGACUCCUACGGGAGGCAGCAGUGGGGAAUUUUGGACAAUGGGCGAAAGCCUGAUCCAGCCAUGCCGCGUGCAGGAUGAAGGCCUUCGGGUUGUAAACUGCUUUUGUACGGAACGAAACGGCCUUUUCUAAUAAAGAGGGCUAAUGACGGUACCGUAAGAAUAAGCACCGGCUAACUACGUGCCAGCAGCCGCGGUAAUACGUAGGGUGCAAGCGUUAAUCGGAAUUACUGGGCGUAAAGCGUGCGCAGGCGGUUAUGUAAGACAGUUGUGAAAUCCCCGGGCUCAACCUGGGAACUGCAUCUGUGACUGCAUAGCUAGAGUACGGUAGAGGGGGAUGGAAUUCCGCGUGUAGCAGUGAAAUGCGUAGAUAUGCGGAGGAACACUGAUGGCGAAGGCAAUCCCCUGGACCUGUACUGACGCUCAUGCACGAAAGCGUGGGGAGCAAACAGG
This 753-nucleotide ribosomal RNA is filed under the name uncultured Comamonadaceae bacterium. RNAcentral's name for it is "bacterial SSU rRNA". It matches the Rfam family "Bacterial small subunit ribosomal RNA", at positions 28 to 776 of the family's 1533-position model. Lineage: Bacteria; Pseudomonadati; Pseudomonadota; Betaproteobacteria; Burkholderiales; Comamonadaceae. The record is from RNAcentral.